GACGAACGCUGGCGGCGUGCUUAACACAUGCAAGUCGAGCGGUAAGGUCCUUUCGGGGGUACACGAGCGGCGAACGGGUGAGUAACACGUGGGUGACCUGCCCUUAGCUCUGGGAUAAGCCUGGGAAACUGGGUCUAAUACCGGAUAUGACUCCAUGACGCAUGUUGUGGGGUGGAAAGCCUUGUGCGGCUAGGGAUGGGCCUGCGGCCUAUCAGCUUGUUGGUGGGGUGAUGGCCUACCAAGGCGACGACGGGUAGCCGGCCUGAGAGGGCGACCGGCCACACUGGGACUGAGACACGGCCCAGACUCCUACGGGAGGCAGCAGUGGGGAAUCUUGCGCAAUGGGCGAAAGCCUGACGCAGCGACGCCGCGUGGGGAUGACGGCCUC
This 388-nucleotide ribosomal RNA is filed under the name uncultured bacterium. Its description in RNAcentral is "bacterial SSU rRNA". It matches the Rfam family "Bacterial small subunit ribosomal RNA", at positions 28 to 418 of the family's 1533-position model. The record is from RNAcentral.